UUCAAAUUGAGAGUUUGAUCCUGGCUCAGGAUGAACGCUGGCGGCGUGCCUAAUACAUGCAAGUCGAACGCACAGCGAAAGGUGCUUGCACCUUUCAAGUGAGUGGCGAACGGGUGAGUAACACGUGGACAACCUGCCUCA
RNAcentral lists this ribosomal RNA (141 nucleotides) under Leuconostoc pseudomesenteroides 4882. Its description in RNAcentral is "Small Subunit Ribosomal RNA; ssuRNA; SSU rRNA". It matches the Rfam family "Bacterial small subunit ribosomal RNA", at positions 1 to 133 of the family's 1533-position model. Lineage: Bacteria; Bacillati; Bacillota; Bacilli; Lactobacillales; Lactobacillaceae. The record is from RNAcentral.